Molecule: long non-coding RNA, 2107 nt
Organism: Syngnathus acus (greater pipefish)
Lineage: Eukaryota; Metazoa; Chordata; Actinopteri; Syngnathiformes; Syngnathidae
Exons: 2
Source: RefSeq, a predicted model, not a curated record
UUCAUUUUUGUUUCAUUUAAUUUAUGUUGGAGUUGAGUCUGAAUCUAACUAAGUGACAUAAGCAUAAUUUCUUGAACUUUAAGAAAUGUUCUUUGAGUAUUCAGAACUAUAAUUGUCUUCAAAGCUACGGAUGUAAUUCCCUCCGUUUGCAUUGCUGUCAUUACCUUUAAUGACCACGUUAAUAGCUGAUUUUCUCACCAGGUCUCACAACAAAGACUCUAUUCAGCAAGCACGGUGACGUUUGUGUUACGCCACAGCGGGCACUGUUUUGCACUCAAUUGUGAUGCACGUGUCGCAAUGUCUUCCAAAGGAACACUCUUCCAAUUAACUCAAACAUGCUUGAGGUUUUUCCCCCGUCAUUGUUACGGCUUCACACCUGUUCUCGGCUUUCGGACACAUGAAACGCUGCUGACAACCUGUUGGGCGGUUGUUUUAAUUAAAAUACAAGACAUGUUACAACAGCCAUCUUUCACAUCCCCAACGAAACUUCCUUCUAAUGGAUGUCACCGAGGUAGCAAUUAUCUCCUCAAAAUAAUGCGAGUUUGCUGAUGAAACAAGACGAGCAGCGUAGUUGUGCUCAUCUCAUCUGGCACCUGCAAUGCCUUGCAACUUGCCCGCGUAGCACGUUUGGCAUGUUCAUGAUUCUCAGAGUUGUCUCAGCUUGUGUAUGUAGUAUAUGGCAGGUACACACUUGGGUGUAUCAAUUACUUUCCAAAAAUAGGGCUCUUCCGAUCACUCCAUUAACGACACAUUGUCCAAAUUUAGUUCUGAAGGACCGGAUCUGGAAUUUUGUUGAUAUCUGAUUGGGUGCUUUUCAAAUGCAGGAACUCUCUCUAAGUAUUGUAUCAGUAUAGUGGUUUUCCAUUGUGGGAACAUUUUAUUAACCUGACUAUCUGUGGAGCAGAAUGUGUUCUCCUGAAAUGGAUCAUUAUUUAAUAAGCUAUUUUUGACAUUGGAAUAACACCUCUAGCCUCUAUGGGUGAGACACCCCUGAUAUCAAGCCAAAGGCGGACAUCACUUGACAAGAAGAAGUGGAGGAGGAGGAAGAGGAGGCGGCGAAACACAAGCCCACUGCACCGUGUGCACUUGUCUGGCAGAUGCCUGCGCUGACAUUUGAGGCCAUGGGGACCGUGUUGAGAGAGCAGAUGCUCGCUGAUGUACAGACACAGGCAAGUACAUGGCAAGUACACAAGCGACUGAAGCAGAAGGAAAUCCGUGCAAACGCAUGACAGAAAACAAGGCAAGAGGUAGAAGUGGAAGAAGAAUUCGUCAAGUGUCGAGACAAGCAAUUGAACGGCAAAACUGAAGUGGCAAAUUAAUAAAACCCGUAGGUAGGCUAUCAAGCACUAUUUGAGCCAACGAGAAGCCAAAAAUAGUAUCUGCCUUUGUUUCUACAUUCUAAUGCUUGUAGAUAAACUAGAUAAUUCAUGGAACCUCAAGACAGGAGGGCAAGAGCCGAGAUUCAAACCCAGAACUGUGGGACUGCAAGUCAGAUGUCCUAAACACUAAUACCGCCACUUCUGCACACACUGCCAGACAACAAGCAGCGAAUCAGUGAUGGGAAUUUAACGAGAACAAAGUGCACAGUGAAAUAAGCACCACCGCUUAUCUCCGGCUGAGAGGAACUAAGUUUUAAAUCACGGAGGUCCGCAGGCGGCGUUAUGGAAAUGGCUGGCUGGCAGCCUCUUUGGUUGCCUGUAAACAGGAUCUUGGUAAGGCAUAUAGCCUCCGGUGGGGCUUUCGGAGGGAAGCUGGCUUGGUGGCGCUUGCCGAAUCCCUCUACCGGUCCCUCCCUCUAUGACACGCCUUCCUUUGCUGCAACCUGCCCGAACUGCCAUAUUGAGUAAUUCAUGAAGCGAGGCGGGGGCGGCAGCGGAAAUGGUAUCUGCACAUCCUGACACAGAGUACAUGACAUGUUCCACAUGUCUUGCCACGAAACUACAAAGAGCCCUUUUGUUGUGACGAAGAAAAAAAACCAACUUUUUUUCUUCUUUAGUUGAUGAGGUAUUAACUAGCGCUUGCACUAUUUUUUUGUGAGACAAAGAGUACAUCAUUGCUCAUUGGGCCAAGCUGAGCUAUGCUUGAAGUAAAAGGUAGCUACAUUCAA